This 253-nucleotide ribosomal RNA is filed under the name uncultured bacterium. Its description in RNAcentral is "partial 16S ribosomal RNA". It matches the Rfam family "Bacterial small subunit ribosomal RNA", at positions 524 to 776 of the family's 1533-position model. The record is from RNAcentral.
UACGUAGGGUGCGAGCGUUGUCCGGAAUUAGUGGGCGUAAAGGGCUCGUAGGCGGUUUGUCGCGUCGGGAGUGAAAUCCACUGGCUUAACUGGUGGCUUGCUUUCGAUACGGGCAGACUGGAGGUAUGCAGGGGAGAACGGAAUUCCUGGUGUAGCGGUGAAAUGCGCAGAUAUCAGGAGGAACACCGGUGGCGAAGGCGGUUCUCUGGGCAUGUCCUGACGCUGAGGAGCGAAAGUGUGGGGAGCGAACAGG